RNAcentral lists this transfer RNA (72 nucleotides) under Odocoileus virginianus texanus. It matches the Rfam family "tRNA". Rfam says of the family: Transfer RNA (tRNA) molecules are approximately 80 nucleotides in length. Their secondary structure includes four short double-helical elements and three loops (D, anti-codon, and T loops). Further hydrogen bonds mediate the characteristic L-shaped molecular structure. tRNAs have two regions of fundamental functional importance: the anti-codon, which is responsible for specific mRNA codon recognition, and the 3' end, to which the tRNAs corresponding amino acid is attached (by aminoacyl-tRNA synthetases). tRNAs cope with the degeneracy of the genetic code in two manners: having more than one tRNA (with a specific anti-codon) for a particular amino acid; and 'wobble' base-pairing, i.e. permitting non-standard base-pairing at the 3rd anti-codon position. RNAcentral also lists the same sequence under 7 other names. Lineage: Eukaryota; Metazoa; Chordata; Mammalia; Artiodactyla; Cervidae. The record is from Rfam by way of RNAcentral.
UCCCUUGUGGCUCAGCUGGUAAAGAAUCUGCCUGCAAUGCAGGAGACCUGGGUUCAAUCCCUGGAUUGGGAG